RNAcentral lists this long non-coding RNA (280 nucleotides) under Prunus persica (peach). RNAcentral describes it as "long non-coding RNA (PPER_LNC006053)". The record is from RNAcentral. Lineage: Eukaryota; Viridiplantae; Streptophyta; Magnoliopsida; Rosales; Rosaceae.
GGUUUUGUACCAUUUUUUCAUUGUCAAUGUCAAAAAAAAGAAAAAGAAAAAUAAUAAUAAUGGACAAUUUUGAUGAACCCACUAAUUUAAUUUGAUCAUUGACACAUGCAUUUAUAUCCAUGCAUGAUUUGGAGGAUUUGAGAUUUUUUCCCUAAUAUAAAAUGACCAAAAAGGAAAUAUUGAAUUGUGAAACAAAUGUAACCCUACUCACUAUGUUCAACCUUAAUCCAACUUCAUCCAAUCUCACGGUAUAAUUAAUUUAGGGAGAAGCAAACCCAAC